This is a non-coding RNA of Picea glauca (white spruce), 119 nucleotides long. NCBI's taxonomy places the organism in Eukaryota, Viridiplantae, Streptophyta, Pinopsida, Pinales, Pinaceae. The record is from Rfam.
GAGUGUGAUCAUACCAACGUUAAUGCACCAGAUCCCAUCGAAACUCCACAGUUAAGUGGACUUGGGCUAGAGUCAUACUAGGAUGGGUGACCUCCCAGGAAGUCCUAGUGUUGCACCUU